Molecule: ribosomal RNA, 84 nt
Filed under: Salmonella enterica
Lineage: Bacteria; Pseudomonadati; Pseudomonadota; Gammaproteobacteria; Enterobacterales; Enterobacteriaceae
Also listed under: 2 other names
Description: partial 16S ribosomal RNA
Rfam family: Bacterial small subunit ribosomal RNA
Source: RNAcentral
UUAAAUUGAAGAGUUUGAUCAUGGCUCAGAUUGAACGCUGGCGGCAGGCCUAACACAUGCAAGUCGAACGGUAACAGGAAGUAG